GACGAACGCUGGCGGCGUGCUUAACACAUGCAAGUCGAACGGAAAGGCCCUGCUUGCAGGGUACUCGAGUGGCGAACGGGUGAGUAACACGUGGGUGAUCUGCCCUGCACUUCGGGAUAAGCCUGGGAAACUGGGUCUAAUACCGGAUAGGAGCCAUUUUGAGUGUGAUGGUUGGAAAGUUUUUUCGGUGUAGGAUGAGCUCGCGGCCUAUCAGCUUGUUGGUGGGGUAAUGGCCUACCAAGGCGGCGACGGGUAGCCGGCCUGAGAGGGUGGACGGCCACAUUGGGACUGAGAUACGGCCCAGACGCCUACGGGAGGCAGCAGUGGGGAAUAUUGCACAAUGGGCGCAAGCCUGAUGCAGCGACGCCGCGGGGGGGAUGACGGCCUUCGGGUUGUAAACUCCUUUCGCUAGGGACGAAGCUUUUUGUGACGGUACCUAGAGAAGAAGCACCGGCUAACUACGUG
This 465-nucleotide ribosomal RNA is filed under the name uncultured bacterium. RNAcentral describes it as "partial 16S ribosomal RNA". It matches the Rfam family "Bacterial small subunit ribosomal RNA", at positions 28 to 507 of the family's 1533-position model. The record is from RNAcentral.